CCGCCCGUGAGAAUGCCCACAAUUCCCUGCUUGGGAAUGAGGAGCCGGUAUCAGGCACGCCCCCGCUCGGCCCACGACACCUUGCUUAGCCACACCCUCAAGGGAAUCCAGCAGUGAUAAACAUUAAGCUAUAAGUGAAAACUUGACUUAGUUAAAGCUAAGAAGGCCGGUAAAACUCGUGCCAGCCACCGCGGUUAUACGAGAGGCCUAAGUUGACAGACAGCGGCGUAAAGAGUGGUUAAGGAAAACACAAAACUAAAGCCGAACGCCUUCAGAACUGUCAUACGUUUUCGAAGGUAUGAAGCCCAACCACGAAAGUGGCUUUAUCCCCCCCCCCCUGAACCCACGAAAGCUAAGAAACAAACUGGGAUUAGAUACCCCACUAUGCUUAGCCCUGAACAUUGAUCGUUUAUUACACCAAACAUCCGCCUGGGAAUUACGAACACCAGUUUAAAACCCAAAGGACUUGGCGGUGCUUAACAUCCACCUAGAGGAGCCUGUUCUAGAACCGAUAACCCCCGUUUAACCUCACCCUCUCUUGUUUUUCCC
This 549-nucleotide ribosomal RNA is filed under the name Seriola quinqueradiata (Japanese amberjack). Its description in RNAcentral is "partial 12S rRNA". It matches the Rfam family "Bacterial small subunit ribosomal RNA", at positions 307 to 991 of the family's 1533-position model. Lineage: Eukaryota; Metazoa; Chordata; Actinopteri; Carangiformes; Carangidae. The record is from RNAcentral.